Bombina bombina (fire-bellied toad) is the source of this 150-nucleotide small nuclear RNA. RefSeq annotates it as U12 minor spliceosomal RNA. The record is from RefSeq and is a predicted model, not a curated record. The transcript has a single exon. Lineage: Eukaryota; Metazoa; Chordata; Amphibia; Anura; Bombinatoridae.
AUGCCUUAAACUAAUGAGUAAGGAAAAUAACUAGCCGGGGUGACGCCUGGUUCCUCACUGCUCAUGUGAGAAGAAUUUUUGAGCAAGUACAGGUUGCCCUUAGGAGGACCCACCUACUUUGUGGGACUUUCAGGAGUAGUGUUCUGCCCG